This 2558-nucleotide ribosomal RNA is filed under the name Ruminococcus sp. AF45-4BH. RNAcentral's name for it is "partial 23S ribosomal RNA". It matches the Rfam family "Bacterial large subunit ribosomal RNA". The record is from RNAcentral. Lineage: Bacteria; Bacillati; Bacillota; Clostridia; Eubacteriales; Oscillospiraceae.
AUGGUCAAGCAGAAAGGGCACAGGGCGGAUGCCUUGGCACUAAGGGCCGAAGAAAGACGUGAUAAGCUGCGAUAAGCUCGGGGAGGAGCAAAUAUCCAUUGAUCCGGAGAUCUCUGAAUGGGGAAACCCACAUGAGCAAACCUCAUGUAUCCAUACGCCAAUCCAUAACGUAUGAGGGGAACCCGGGGAACUGAAACAUCUAAGUACCCGGAGGAAAAGAAAGAAAACUCGAUUCCGUAAGUAGCGGCGAGCGAACGCGGAAGAGCCUAAACCAGGUCGCGUGCGAUCUGGGGUUACGGACUGCAUUUAAGAUUCUGUGAUGUUAGUAGAACGGUUUUGGGAAAGCCGGCCAGAGAGGGUGAAAGCCCCGUACACGAAAACAGAGCAGACUGAGCAGGAUCCAGAGUACCGCGGGACACGAGAAACCCUGCGGGAAGUAAGGGGGACCACCCCCUAAGGCUAAAUACCACUUAGUGACCGAUAGCGCAUAGUACUGUGAAGGAAAGGUGAAAAGGACCCCGGGAGGGGAGUGAAAGAGAACCUGAAACCCUGUGUCUACAAGCUGUGGGAGUGCUUUAUAUGCACGACCGCGUACUUUUUGUAGAACGGUCCGGCGAGUUGCGCACACUGGCAAGGUUAAGGACUCAAGGUCCGGAGCCGUAGGGAAACCAAGUCUUAAUAGGGCCAGAGUCAGUGUGGGCAGACCCGAAACCGGGUGAUCUAUCCAUGUCCAGGUUGAAGCUGCCGUAAGAGGCAGUGGAGGACCGAACCCACAUCCGUUGAAAAGGGUGGGGAUGAGGUGUGGAUAGGGGAGAAAUUCCAAUCGAACCCGGAGAUAGCUGGUUCUCCUCGAAAUAGCUUUAGGGCUAGCCUUGGUAGAGAUUUGCGGAGGUAGAGCACUGAAUUUCCUAGGGGGCGUCAAAGCCUACCGAAGAAUAUCAAACUCCGAAUGCCGCGUAAUUGCUUACCGGGAGUCAGACUGCACGAGAUAAGUUGGGCAGUCAAAAGGGAAAGAGCCCAGACCUUCAGUUAAGGUCCCAAAGUGUACGUUAAGUGGAAAAGGAUGUGGGAUUUCGAAGACAACCAGGAUGUUGGCUCAGAAGCAGCCAUUCAUUCAAAGAGUGCGUAAUAGCUCACUGGUCGAGAGGUCCUGCGCCGAAAAUGUCCGGGGCUGAAACGUACCACCGAAACUAAGGAAUCUAGUAAUAGAUUGGUAGAGGAGCAUUGCAUGCGGGAAGAAGCAGUACCGUAAGGAGCUGUGGACUGCAUGGAAGAGAGAAUGCCGGAAUGAGUAGCGAGAUAGAGGUGAGAAUCCUCUAGGCCGAAUAUCCAAGGUUUCCAGGGUAAAGCUGAUCUGCCUGGGUAAGUCGGGGCCUAAGGUGAGGACGAGAGUCGUAGCCGAUGGACAACAGGUGGAGAUUCCUGUACUAUGAUAUGACAGAACUGUGGGGACACGUGCAGAGAGCGGAAGCCGGGAAUGGGAUAGGCUCAAGCAACUGUUUAGCAAAAACACAGGUCUAUGCGAAACCGUAAGGUGAGGUAUAUGCUGACGCCUGCCCGGUGCUGGAAGGUUAAGAGGAGAGGUUAGCGCAAGCGAAGCUUUGAAUUUAAGCCCCAGUAAACGGCGGCCGUAACUAUAACGGUCCUAAGGUAGCGAAAUUCCUUGUCGGGUAAGUUCCGACCCGCACGAAAGGCGUAAUGAUUUGAGCGCUGUCUCGACAAUGCAUCCGGUGAAAUUGAAGUACCAGUGAAGAUGCUGGUUACCUGCGCCAGGACGGAAAGACCCCAUGGAGCUUUACUCCAGUUUGGUACUGGGAUCCGGUACUGCAUGUACAGGAUAGGUGGGAGGCUGAGAAAUGGUAACGCCAGUUGCCAUGGAGCCGCUGUUGGGAUACCACCCUUGCAGUAUUGGGUUUCUAACCAGCCGCCGUGACCCGGCGGUGGGACAAUGCCAGACGGGGAGUUUGACUGGGGCGGUCGCCUCCGAAAGGGUAUCGGAGGCGCCCAAAGGUUCCCUCAGGAUGGACGGAAACCAUCCAAAGAGUGCAAAGGCAGAAGGGAGCUUGACUGCGACACCGACGGGUGGAGCAGGUACGAAAGUAGGGCUUAGUGAUCCGGUGGUAUUAAGUGGGAAUGCCAUCGCUCAACGGAUAAAAGCUACCCUGGGGAUAACAGGCUUAUCACUCCCAAGAGUUCACAUCGACGGAGUGGUUUGGCACCUCGAUGUCGGCUCAUCGCAUCCUGGGGCUGUAGUAGGUCCCAAGGGUUGGGCUGUUCGCCCAUUAAAGCGGUACGCGAGCUGGGUUCAGAACGUCGUGAGACAGUUCGGUCCCUAUCCGGCGUGGGCGUAGGAUAUCUGAGAGGAGCUGUCCUUAGUACGAGAGGACCGGGAUGGACGGGCCGCUGGUGCACCGGUUAGACUGCCAAGUCUAUAGCCGGGUAGCCAAGCCCGGAAGGGAUAAACGCUGAAGGCAUCUAAGCGUGAAGCCCCCCUCAAGAUGAGAUAUCCCAUCCGAAAGGAGUAAACCCCCUUGAAGACGACGAGGUUGAUAGGGCAG